CCAGGUGUGUUCCUGUGUUAAUCUCCUCAUAUGCAUCUGGCUGUUAAGAAAACAAAAGAAGGGAAUGGCAGUGACCCCGCUGUCCUGACUAAUUAUUCAUGAGGGUGGACCCUAAACUCUCCGUCAUCACGCGGACGUUUGAGUGACGGCGCCACAUUUAUUCAUCGUAUUUCACUGAGACACACUGCUGAGGCCAUUAUAAACACGAGGGAAGAAAAAGAAGUAGAGUAGAGAGGUGCAGAAAGACAGACUGUUACUCCUUUUUUUUUUUAUAUAUGCAGAUCUCUGUAUUUUUUAAUUAUUCUGAACUGGUGUCUAAAUACCCAGAGUGAUUUUAUUGAAUUUCAUUACCCCUUUCGAAGCAUUUUGUAUGGAAAUGUAAUGGCAAUUAAUUGGACAGUAGUUUAUUCUUACUGGGAUUCCCAGGAAAUAAUUGGGAGGCGUUACAGGUAAAGACUCUGCCUUAGUAAGAAAAAAAAAGGACUAUUUAUGUAGCUGAUUUGCACAACAGGAGGAAACGCCCGAGAGUUUAAAAAAAAAAAAAACGAUGUAGAUGUUGGCCCUUUGGACAAAAGUAACGUAGUUAUUCGCCAAAGGAAUAACAGUCAGUCCAGGAUGCAGACAUUUCUUCCACCAAUUUGACUGAUUUGUGUUACACUAUAACGCCAAAGGCUUGUGGGCACCAUGACACUCAUAUCUGCUGUUUGAACAUCCCACUCCAGAUUUACUUCCUGCUUUGCUGUUAUAAUAUCCUUCACUCUUCUGCGAAGGCUUUCCACUAGAUUUUGGAAUGUGGCUGUGGGGAUUUGCUCAUUCAACCACAAGAGCGUUAGUGAGGUCACGCACUGAGGAAGUCUGGGGUGAAGUUGAAGUUCCAGUUUAUCCCAAAAGUGUUGAGUGGGUUUGAGGUGCGGGAUCUGUACAGGAGCUCUUUCACUCCAAACAUGGCAAACCAUGUCUUCAUGGAGAUCGCUUUGUGCACAAAGGCACUGUCAUGCUGGAACAGGUUUCGGCUUCACCGUUCCAGUAAUGGGAAAUUGUAGUCCUACAGCAUACAAAGACAUUCUUUACAACUGUGUGGUUCCCAAAAACAGUUUGGGGAUAAUGGCUAACCCAAUUUCAGAGCAAAUAGUUUUUAUGCAUUUAAUUCUUUAAAAUCAAAAGGAAAACAGCCUUCUUUAUAAUUAGGAGCAUAUAUUCCUUCACGUGUAGGUAUUUAAAUAAGUCGUGUUAAAUAAUGGUAGCCAAGCUAGCUAUCUAAGCUCAACAAUAUCAAAGUCAACUAUUUUUAAUAAUACGCAGGUAUGUCGUGAUCACGUCCAACAUGUGAUCAAUCGGGCAGCUGCACACGUCGAAAUCUGCAACACACGUUGGGUUGAGACUGCACCGUAAGAGUUGCCUCUCAGCACUUCCUGUGAUGUCUCAUGAUGGAUAGCUUGAGAGGAAGUUGUUUAACACUCAUUUCCACCACAUUGUCUUAACCCCGUUGUUAGGCCAAAACGCACCUCAGGGCAAACAUUGCAGUGAGGAUCUCUUCAUGACCGUUUGAACCGAUCCAUCUGGCGGUGUCAGAAACGGUAAUAAAUAAAAAGUCUGCCCUAACAUCAACAGCAUGUCUCAGAGGAGUUCAUCACAAUGAGCCUGUAAUUACAAGUCUACCGAGGUUCGAUGAGAAAUGUCUAGGGUGAAAUUCUACGGUGGAUCCUGACGAUUUCAACCUUCAACUCUACUUUUCCAUCAAUUCUGCAAACUCUCUCUGCAAGGACUUGGCAGUAUUUCCUGAAACGUUUGAUUCCUCUUACACCACAGCAAUUACAUAAAAAAAAAAUUCUUACAGAACACAUCUUAUUCAUUGUUAGCUAGAUUCAAGUUAAUUCCUGUUAUCACUUAUACACAUUAUAGCAGCUAUAAACAGCCAUUUCCGUCUUUAUUUUUUUCUUUCUUGAAGUUAACAAGACAGAAAAGUCUGAGAAACUGAAAGGUGGAAAACCCUCUACCUGCUACAUAAAUCCUACAUAUACAUCUCCUUAAACUAAACCUUUUCUGUGCUUCUUAAAGGCUGUGUGUGUGUGUGUGUGUGUGUGUCGAAAAAGCACUUAUGCUGUAAGACCAGAGGCUGGCCAAUCGGAGCUCCACGAUGCUAUCCAAAACAACAAGGAUGAUGUUUUACCCACCGUGCCUUCACUUCUAGGUCACUGGAGGCCCGUGGAUGAUGAUGAUCAUCAGAAUGGCACGCUGCUUUUCUGUUAGCUCGAGUAAGAAGCGUGAUGUGUGCACUGAGUGCUGUUUGCUUGUCCACAAGCACUAGUAUGUGCCUCUAUAUUUGUUUGUGUGAAGCUGGCCUAAUAAACCAACAGGACAAUGAAUUUCGCUGCAGGGCCACUCUGAGCUGAGCAAGAGUGAGGAGGGGGGGUGCAGCAGUGAGGCCUGGUAAAAGGUCUGGCCACAUCUCCCUAAGGUUUCUAUUACUAAGCAGACACAGUGUUGAGGACAUGGCAUUUACAUGGCACACAAGCUGGCAAGCCAGUCCCUCCAUUACACGUUACACAUUACACACUGUGGAGUUCGUGCUGUUACGCUGGAGUACUGAAUCUCCAGCAUCAGUUCUAUGCUAGAGUUUUACAGUCAACGCAUGUAUCAUGUGGUUGGGGGUCUAUAUUUCUGAAGAGUCAAGAUCUGACAGGAAUGCUGCUUGACUGUUUGUCGUGUUGCGUCAUGAACACUUUAAAAAACUAAUUUUUUAUUUUUUUUUACAGUUUUGAGAAAAUCUCAAUCUUAUGAUGAAAACGUGUAGGACCGCCCUCGUCAGCAUGUCACAGUGUAGCUCUCUCACAGAUAAUACGUUACUGUAUUUGUUUCAGUAAAUGUGUCCGAUUCUAUGCCUGCACAAACCGCUAUACUUCUCAUACAGUGGUUCGUCUCGGUGGCUGUGUUCGCCAGAUUUGAGAUGGAUUGAAUUACAGCUCUAAAUGUGAGACGGAAGAUCGUGGCGUAGUUGGUGCCGGGUGAUUUUGUCGCUCGUCAUCUGAAAGUUCAAUAGUCCAGUAUUAUCUGAGAAGAACAAGCAUCAGCCCAACUAAUAGAUGAAGAACUUAAAAAGGAGGUACGUCUGUCGUUUCCUGAAGCUUGAAGUUGAAUCGAAGUUGAAUGUUUAAUAAUAUUUUGUAAUCAUGUUCUCACUUCGACAGUGUUACGCUUUUUCUUGUUCUCAUCUUUUGUGAUAGUUCUGUUCAAUCUCACACAGCAGUCAUGUAUCGAUGAGAAUUUUUCAUCAGUUUUAGAGAAACCGUAAUAUAUCGUGAGAUAUAUGUCAUUUAAUAAUAUUUGGGAUAUAAUAAUUAAUUAACAUAGGGAUAUAAUAUUUGGGCUAAUGUCCGAUCUAAAUGUAAUCUCUGCAGCAGAGUCUUUGUUAAGCAUCAACACAUUUACAUAUAAAAAAAUUCACAGACAUACUCUGCUCUCAUGGAUAUCAAACAAUUGCAAACAAAACAGUUUUAUCAAAAAAAAUUAAAUAUGUUUGUUAAAUAUAGGUGUGCAACAAUUAUUAGCACCCUUAUGAAUUCCUAUGAGAAAAAUAUAUUUGAAGUAUAUUCCCAUUGAUAUUUUAAAAACCUUUAAGGACACCUGGGUGACUAGGAACAGGAAAU
Ictalurus punctatus (channel catfish) is the source of this 3647-nucleotide long non-coding RNA. NCBI's taxonomy places the organism in Eukaryota, Metazoa, Chordata, Actinopteri, Siluriformes, Ictaluridae. The record is from Ensembl.